Protopterus annectens (West African lungfish) is the source of this 2366-nucleotide long non-coding RNA. RefSeq lists it as uncharacterized. The transcript is spliced from 2 exons. The record is from RefSeq and is a predicted model, not a curated record. Lineage: Eukaryota; Metazoa; Chordata; Ceratodontiformes; Protopteridae.
AUUAUCGAUACCAGUCCUUGUCAUUUCUGCACUUUUCAUGGUGAUUUCGGCAAUCACUCUGGUGCAGAUUGUGGUUCAGCGCAAGAAGAUGGCAGCAGAGGAAAAGAACAUAUGGCCAGAUCAUCAGAAACAUUGCCGGCUUCCUAUCCAAGAAGAAAAUGAACACGCAGAGUCUGCCUUGGUUAAAUCUGGACAACCAAGCAGUUUGACUAGCCCUAUGGAUAGUUUAGAAUGUGACUCGAUUAUGUGUUAAGCAUCACAUAUUUGGUAAGGAAUGGAUAAAAGAAGUAUUGAUGCCAACCAGAAUCGUUUAACUGUAUAUGGAUCUAGAACAGCGGAAGAACAUAUUCUAGAAUUAUACCACAUAAAGAUUUUGCAUGAAAAGAAACUAUAUUAUCAAAGCAUCAAAAAUUAUUACACUGAGAACUGCAAAUGUCACAUGAAACACUAUUAUGUGCUUUUUUUCCAUAAAAGUACCUCAGUGGAUGCCAAACUCAAAUAUCAUUUGGGUGAUGGUAAUCCCAAACAUCAUAAAAGUCAUCCAAAAACAAGAACCUUUGGUGUAAUAUAAAGUUUUUGCAUUUGAACACUGUCAGACCUCAUGCCACAUAUGAACUUUGCUGCUCUUCUUUUUAAUGGAGUUUCUUUCCUUUACGAUUUAAGGAAUUAUGUUACAGCGACCCAGGACUUUCUAGCAGGAUUAGAAAACGUUUUUUGUUCUUGGACUUUUGUUAAAACAAAGACAAACAGGCCCAUUUCCAGGUCUAGUUGAAAUGAUAUUUGUUGCCUUUCCUACCUCAAGAAUAGUAUUGAUUUAGCAGAAGAAAAUGUUGAGCCAUAGUUCUCAAUUUUUGACCUCAGUAUAAGGGAUAAAGGCCCAAAAUCAAGAAUAUUUUUAAAUAUUCAUACUAUUAAUUUGAAAAGGUUGCUAGCGUAAAAUGAGUUACAUUAACAAUCCUCUUCUGAAGCAAAGACAGUUUGUAUGUGUAAUUUCUGUGAUUUACUGUUUGAAAUUGUUCUUGUUUUGUCACAAAAUCGUGUAUAUUAGCAGCAUGGAGCACAACUGUUAGGUAAAAGAAGGGAUGUACCUAAAAUCAGAGGCUGAUAACAGGCAUGUGUUAAAGAAGAGAGUUAGUAUCUAAAAUUAGCCCCAUUAUUGUAAGCUCUGAUAUCUGCAGUUUUAUUUACAAGAUUAUUUCCUUCUGCAGAUGCAUUAUCUGUAACAUUCUGAAAGACUUUCCCUUGCUAGUUUUAGUCCUUUGUGUUAUAUUUCAGACCAGAGGGAUACAUGUGUAGGAGUUCUCUACAUUGUUAACAAUGUAGCAGAAUAGAGAAGUGUGACAGAAACAAGCCUGCAGUUGUAAUGUGACCUAGUUGCAAUAGAGAAAGACAUUUUUGUAACAUUAGCAGUGGUUAUUUCAUUUAUUUUCUGAAGUACAAAUUAACAAUCAAUAGCCUGCUAAUUAUAUUUAUAUUCCAUAUUGGAAGUGCACACAACAUACUAGUUCUGUUGCUUUUUAUAGAGCUUCCAGAGACUUAUAAAGGUUUAAUUUACAUUGUGACAGCUUGGACAGAUUAAGUCAUGCAUGUGUAUGACAGGUGACAUGUCACAAUAUUGUGAACUGGCCAGUUUAAGAGAAAUGCUCACAUCAGCUGCUCAUCAGAGUUUGUAUUGCAAAACUGACAAUAACUAUUACGGGUACUAUACUCAAAAGAGUAACAAACGCUCACACCAAAUUAUCAAUGAUGGCACAGUAAGCAACCUAAUGUGUUACCCUUCAUUAUCCCACAUGCAUAAAAGUGUCUCUGAGAAUCAGGAAUAAGCAGCCAAAAUGUACAACAGCUGUUAAUAACUUUAAGUAGCAAACUCACAUUGUGAUUAAAAGUGCUGAUCUUGCUUAUGAAAUAGCUUGCUGAUGUACAGUAUUAUGUAACAUUGUUAACAAUUGGAUGUUUUACAUAAAGAUCUUAACUCGUUGAUACUGUAUGUGACAAGAGGUGUACUGUAUUUACUGUAUGGGGAGGUUUAGGACAACUCACCUAUAAUGAACCUCCCGCACAGAAGUCAGCUUAACUGAAAGACCGAUCACUAUUAACUUAAAUUGUGCUUCUGAAGGCUCUUGUAAAUUUCCAGUUCUUGAUUUCACAAACCAUCCAUCUGUAUUUUUGAUUCUAACAUUUCUAAAUGCAAUGUAUUGUUAGAUACUAUAGAAAUAGCAUUGGUCUACUGUCACUAAAUACUGCAGCUGCUAUGCUGACUAUGACCAGUUUCAGUAAAGUUUCACAUACAGAGGUGUGGCUACUUCUGUCUGUUGUUACUGUUACACGCUGUACGCAUUUCUGUUUUAUAAAGAGUUUACCCAUGA